Molecule: long non-coding RNA, 954 nt
Filed under: Marmota monax (woodchuck)
Lineage: Eukaryota; Metazoa; Chordata; Mammalia; Rodentia; Sciuridae
Source: RNAcentral
AGGGGGACAGGGAUUGUGGCUUACUGAUAGAGCAUUUGCCUUGCACAUGUGAGGCCCUGGGUUCGAUCCUCAGCAAUACAUAUAAAUAAAUAUAAUAAAGGCAUAAAAAAAAAGAAUAGGGCCUACAUGUAUUUACCGGUGAUACCCUUAUGACAAAGUGUCGCAGAGGGAAAACCUAAAUAAACCCUCUGGCUUCACUUGCUCUUAGUUGACUUAAAAUCACUAAUUUUGGAGGUCACACAGCACUGGCUUUGCUGUAGAUGACACUUCUCACAUGUGGGUUGGGAUGAUAACAGUUGCCUAGGUUCCUUUUUAGGGAGGCUUUUGGUGAAGGCACUGACUUGUCACUUGGGCCUGAGGAUGUCCCAUGGGUCUUGUCAUCUCUGCCUUCAGUUGUGGAUGUCUCCUUUGCUGCCUUAACCAUUGGGCCAGAUUUCUGCUCAACUCUGCAUGUAGAUAUGGUGACUAUUUGAGAGAUGUUUUGUCCAGAAUUACAGUAGGGGUUAACUUGACCCAAACUGCCUAGCCUCUCUCCUCCCCUUCAAGGCUAAAGAUACACCUACCAGCUGCCACAUCAGAAAACAGCAGACCGUGAGAGGAGCAAAAUGAGGUGGCAUCCAAGCUCCUGGAAGAUCUCUGUCUAUUUCUGGGGUUGACAUGAAGAUUCCACCUCUUGCUUAGUCUCUCUCUCUCUCCCUCCUUGCUUUUACCUUGUAUUUGUGACUCCCCAACCCCUUGGAGAUGAGAAGGUGAUUUUCCAGCAAAACUCCCACUUCUCAAUUCUUUGGCCACUGAAUAAAGUCUUUCUUUCUCCCCGACCCUGGGCCUCAGACAUUGUAUUUAUGUGCGAUGAGUUUCUGGAACCAAGCAACAAAAUCUAGGCCCUGGUGGUUCCCCUAAGAGAUGAAUGGGGACUGAGGAAGGAGAGAGACGAGAGAGGAAGAGUUGCCUCCC